This 231-nucleotide long non-coding RNA is filed under the name Mytilus galloprovincialis (Mediterranean mussel). The record is from RNAcentral. Lineage: Eukaryota; Metazoa; Mollusca; Bivalvia; Mytilida; Mytilidae.
AAACAAUAAGUGUGAGACAUUUUUUGUCAAAGGAAUGAAAGAAUCAUACUUUAACAGAUGGAUACAUCGUAAUUUCUAUACAAUAGAUACUUGCAAAUAUAGAAUAAUUUAGAGUAAAAGAAUGAUAACGAACACCAAAAAUUAUAUGGUUCACUGAUUAUGAACGAAAUAUUAUCGCAUGCAACGAACAAUGAGCAGCAUUAUAGCAAGGCAUAUCUUAUAUUUACCUGC